Molecule: long non-coding RNA, 323 nt
Organism: Ostrinia nubilalis (European corn borer)
Lineage: Eukaryota; Metazoa; Arthropoda; Insecta; Lepidoptera; Crambidae
Exons: 2
Source: RefSeq, a predicted model, not a curated record
CGAUAGGCAGGUACGCGGCCGUACUUUUCAAGUUGGUUUGUCGAAAUGAAGCCGGGGAGACGUGCCCUGGCCGACGAUUUUUAAAGGUCAAACGGCUUUAGGCGCCGCCCAUUAAAAUCAUACGAUGUUUUUGACCAAUGCCCAGACGCAAAGGAUUGAAGAGAAAGCUGCUUAGGGUCCCGCGCGACCGAUAAACGAACCAUUAGCAAGGUCACUGUAAUAUUGAUCUAUUUUAUUUUAAGCUAGUUUUAAGUGAUUUAUGUAAUUAUUUGUUUUGUAAAUGUUAUUUAUUUAGUGAUAAGAAUAAAAUAUUGUUUACAGUU